This 21-nucleotide non-coding RNA is filed under the name Arabidopsis thaliana (thale cress). Lineage: Eukaryota; Viridiplantae; Streptophyta; Magnoliopsida; Brassicales; Brassicaceae. The record is from RNAcentral.
UGCAAAUCCAGUUCUUGUGUC